GAUGAACGCUAGCUACAGGCUUAACACAUGCAAGUCGAGGGGAAACGACAUCGAAAGCUUGCUUUUGAUGGGCGUCGACCGGCGCACGGGUGAGUAACGCGUAUCCAACCUGCCCAUCACUUGGGAAUAACCUUGCGAAAGUAAGACUAAUACCCAAUGAUAUCCCACGAAGGCAUCGGAAUGGGAUUAAAGAUUUAUCGGUGAUGGAUGGGGAUGCGUCUGAUUAGCUUGUUGGCGGGGUAACGGCCCACCAAGGCAACGAUCAGUUGGGGUUCUGAGAGGAAGGUCCCCCACAUUGGAACUGAGACACGGUCCAAACUCCUACGGGAGGCAGCAGUGAGGAAUAUUGGUCAAUGGGCGAGAGCCUGAACCAGCCAAGUAGCGUGCAGGAAGACGGCCCUAUGGGUUGUAAACUGCUUUUAGAAGGGAAUAAAGUGGGUCACGUGUGACUUUUUGCAUGUACCUUAUGAAUAAGGACCGGCUAAUUCCGUG
This 492-nucleotide ribosomal RNA is filed under the name uncultured bacterium. RNAcentral's name for it is "partial 16S ribosomal RNA". It matches the Rfam family "Bacterial small subunit ribosomal RNA", at positions 28 to 507 of the family's 1533-position model. The record is from RNAcentral.